AAUAAAAGUUCCGAUGAGGAAGGAAGGGUGCUUCAACACAACAGUGCGCUGAAAUCAGAUCUUGUUACCAACUUUUAACAUUGAUAUUUCACACUGAGAUUGUUGGCAAAUUAAUUUAUGGUUUACCCAUAAGACCAAUUAUUUUAAAAUAUUUGUUUAUGCUCAGUCAAAUCCAGUAGACUGACACUCACGAUACUUGAACUUCGUGUUCAAUAUAUAAAUGCCGCUUCAUACUAAUUUUUAAGUACAGGUCAGCUCGUUUUCUAGAUAUCAUGCGCACAAACAGACGUAUUAAUUAAAGUUAAUUUUUCCGGACCCAUGAGUUAUAGAUUUCGAUAAUGCUUAACCGAUGGCAACAAUUACGAUUUCAGUAAAAAAACAUUACCUUUGCUAACACCUAUUCAAAAACACUGACAUGAUACAUGGAAUAAAAAUCCAGUAUAGGUAUAGUUCUAGUGGCUGUUUUAACGAUUUCAAGUUUAAAAAAGGGUUUAAUAUUUUUUCUACCAGUACCCUUUCUAUACUUAGUUUUCUCCACAGUUCUUAUUCUUUAAUCCAAUAAUAGUUGUAACGAUAUCAAGUAAUGUUGUCACUUGUAAUUUGAUUUUUAUACAGUAACUCAGUUGUGUUAAUAUUUUGACAUUUUGCUCUCCAAAACCAAUUCAAGAUGAAGAUGUACAUUACACGGAUGUAUACAAGUGUAUGUUUCCCAUUGACAGAGACUACUAUGGCGGUGGUGGCUACAGAAACAGCUACAGAAGAUCUCCCUCUCCAUACUAUAGUAGGCGGAGGAGCCGCUACGAAAGAUCCAGAUCACGCUCCUACUCUCCUCGUCGUUAUUAGACGAAGCACCCCGGGCUUGCAUCUCUACAACAUUAUUUAGAUUUAAGUUUGAUACCGUUGUGGCAAAACCCAUUUCAUUAUUUUUAUUCAUUUCUCCUCAAUUACGCCUAGAUUGUUAGUUUCCUGUUAUUUUCCUGACUUUGUGAUAAUGUUAAUCCUCUGUUGUUUUAUUCCUUUUACUGUGUAACCUUAAAAACCGGGUUUUGUCACAAUUUGCUUGUAAAAUACAAUAAUAAAUUUAAUUGUAUGGAAAAUUACUUAUUUCGUGUUAUUGAUUGCUUUCAUAAGUUGAGUUAGUCCACAAUUACUACUAUCUCUGUAGGAGAAGAAACAAUAAGUACUGUAGUAGUUAAGGUUAUAAGAGGGAACUUUGUAUAUAUAGUAAGUAUUUCCUUGUCAAUGAUACAAUUGAUAGUUUUUGUUCACUGAUAUUUGUUUUUUUACAUAUAGCUGUAUGAUUUGUCAGUCACAAUGUUAUGUAUACAGUGUGUUGGAAUUGAAAACCAGGAUUUUUUCACAUGUAUUGUUUGUCAUAUUAACGUUCUCUUAAUAAAGUAUUUGUGAUGCCAAGGGGCCUAUAAUAAGGAACUAUUUGAUUAAAAUUUAAAUAACACUUCUAAUAUUUGUUGUUUGCUUGUUUAUAAGGUUUUGAAGAUAAGGGGUAGCUUAAAUUGAGGAAGAAAAGAAAAUUUUAAAAAGCGGUCAAGCUUAAGCGAAAAUAAUCUCUCCGCGUAAGAGAAGAUUUGAGCAAGCAACCAAAGAAGAAAGAAAACAACGAUCAAGGCACAAGAGCAUUGACGUUGAAGAUUCUUUGGGAUAAUCAGUUAGGUUGAAAAGCUGCGAAUUGCAAUUCACUGAGGUAGAUCGUUAAAAUAGAGUGUUAUUUUGCUUUUUACGUACCUGUUAAAUAACUGAUGUUUUUGUUAUUUUGCUAUAUCAGCAGUUGGCACAUCCACAAUGCAGUUAUUAAAUCAAGACGUUUUAUAACAGCUAAAAUAUCCAUAUACACCAAACUAGAGAAAGAUGGAAGUCCAAUUUCAGCUACAUGAAUUUUUUAAGUUUUUGAUCCGUUUAGUCAUUUUGAUUUGUUAAGUUGGGACAUUAAAGAAGUUUCUUGUGAUUAUAGUUUUUGUUUACAAUUAUUACAGUUAUUGGUUAAUUAAUUUUUUAAUAAUAGACUUAAAGGUUAUUUAAAACAAAAUGUGGAUCAAGCUCAUUUACAUAUCAUCAUAGCAAUGUGUUAUUAUUUUUAGGUGCAAGUAGCUGAUUUGAAAAAUGUUUUCAAAUUAAUAAUUGGUUAUAUAAUUGAUUGUCAAAAAUAUAUAUUUUGAUAUAUUCAUCAAAAUUUUAAACAUUAUGUAAUGUAACUUGGUUCCUAAUAUAUAUAUUUGUAAACAAGUAUAAUUGGAUUUAAAAAGUAGGUACUUUUUAAGUAUUGCAUUUUACUGAAAAAAUGUGUAUAUGUCUAUGUCAAUCUUUUAGUUAUAAAUUUUAAUUUUAAAAACAAUUUGGACCUCCUUCCAGUUGCAUUUACUCUGGAAUCUUGAUUUUGUUAUUAUGUAACAAACAACUAACUGCUGGAUGGGUGGUUUUGACCAUGCUGGAAUUUCAAUUUCUUUUAGUACUGAGAAAUGUUUAUUUUUAGUCAAAUAAACACUAAUGUACUGUA
Molecule: long non-coding RNA, 2512 nt
Organism: Homalodisca vitripennis (glassy-winged sharpshooter)
Lineage: Eukaryota; Metazoa; Arthropoda; Insecta; Hemiptera; Cicadellidae
Exons: 2
Source: RefSeq, a predicted model, not a curated record